Molecule: non-coding RNA, 574 nt
Organism: Odocoileus virginianus texanus
Lineage: Eukaryota; Metazoa; Chordata; Mammalia; Artiodactyla; Cervidae
Source: RefSeq, a predicted model, not a curated record
CACAUCAGCAGGUUCCACAUUAAGUCAAGUCCUCUGGAAUCUCAUGAGAUCUGCAGCUACUGUCGUCACUGAAGUCUUGAACCUCUCAAGGUCCUCCAUGAAGCUGGCAUAGCUCACAGCACAACUUUCAGAGCUGGAACCAUUUAUCUGAGGCUGAAUUCUUUGCCCGUUAUAUCACUAAUGAGACUGUGUGCCUUCUCUUGGUACACCACGAGGAGGUGAACGAACGUGACUGUGCUGGACAUCCAUCACUUCAGAUUCAUUAAGUCAGUCUUCUAAGACUGAUCACUGCACCUCUCUCUACGGCAAUGCAAACAUGAUCAAUGAUUGUUCCUGUUCCCUUGAUAGUACAUGAUUAGUUUCUGCAAAUCUUGGAAUAGGGUAAAACUGAAUACAAAUUAUAUUAGCAGAACUAAUGUGCUUCUGAUUGAAGAUUACCUAUUAAUGGAAAUUUCAGAAAAGGAACCUUAUCAAUUAACAUAAGCCCCAAGGAGCAGAAACGAAAGGAAAUUAGACCAAAUACUACAAGAAACCAGCAAUAUAAGAGGAUGAUCAUCAAUAACAUAGAGAUACU